Molecule: long non-coding RNA, 1201 nt
Organism: Myotis daubentonii (Daubenton's bat)
Lineage: Eukaryota; Metazoa; Chordata; Mammalia; Chiroptera; Vespertilionidae
Source: RefSeq, a predicted model, not a curated record
UGUACCAGGCCUCUAGUCUAUAUACACUGAGUGGCCAGAUUAUUAUGACCAACUGACGUUUGAAGGCAAAUUAGCUAUACAUCAUAUGGGAUAUAGAAGCCGAAGGCCUGUUCGAACACCUUUGCUGUCUGCAGUUACCAAGAUAAAACGUCUCCAAUUCACACAUGAACACAAGGAUUGGACAGUUGCGCAUUGGAAAAAAGUCAUGUGGUCCGAUGAAUCACAUUUCCAGUUGCAGCAUGCAGAUGGCAGAGUGAGAAUUUGGCGGAAACAGCAUGAAAGCAUGCACCCCACAUGCAUGAGUACAACCCUUCAAGCUGGCGGGGGCAGUGUUAUGGUUUGGGGCAUGUUUUCCUGGCAUGAUUUGGGCCCUUUAAUUUGUGUGAACAACAUCUGAAUAGCACACCAUACCUAAGUAUCGUUGCUGAUCAAGUUCAUCCUAUCAUGUUGAUGGUGUAUCCCAAUGGAGAUGGCUUCUUCCAACAAGACAAUGCGCCAUGCCAUGGUGCUCUUAUUGUGCAGGAGUGGUUUCAAGAACAUAAGGGAGACUUUACCUUGCUUAGGUGGCCCCCACAGUCACCAGAUCUCAAUCCAAUUGGGCAUUUGUGGGACCAAGUUAAAAGAGCCACCAGGCAGCUGGUUCCACAACCAUCAGAUCUCACAGAACUGGACAGUGCUAUUCAUCAGGCAUGGUGUCAGAUUCCUCACAUCACCUUUCAAGAUCUCAUGGAGUCAAUACCAAGAAGAAUCGCCGCAGUAUUGAAGGCAAAAGGUGGCCCAACGAAGUACUGAUGGGGUGGUCAUAAUAAUCUGGCCACUCAGUGUAUAUAUAAGCUCAGUGACCAAACAGCAGAAUGACCAGAAAGACCAAUCGCUAUGACAGGCACUGACCACCAGAGGGCAGACACUGCAGGAUGAGCAGCAGGAGCAGCUGCUCAGAGGGUGAGUCCUCAGCUGCUCGGCUAACCGGGAUGAAUGGUGCUCCCACAGUGGGCUGAUCCCUGCAGUCCAUGCCCCCACCAGUGCACAAAUCCAUGCACCAGGCCUCUGGUACUAAUGUAUGUAUGCAGCUUUAUGCUUUGCUUUCUCCUCACUUAUAUAGUUGGGAUUUUUAUGUCAUUUUUGGUGAAUAUAAUUUAAAAUAUCAUUUUCUUUUUUAAUUAUAAAUGUCUGCUAUAACAGUCUUCCAGUAUAGAAAUAU